UGAUGAUGAUGAAGAUGCUGAUAGUAAUCAUAAUACUAUUUUAAAUAAUGCACACCAUUUUAUUUAGUAUUUAUUAAGUCCAGGGCCUUAAGUGAUACAAUGAGGAAUUUGAUCUUACCAGCAACUCUGCCAGGUCAUUACCAUCCCCGGCUUAUGGAUGAGGAAACCGAGGCUCAGAAAAGGUGAGAUACAUUUCUCUAAGUGCAUCUUGUGGCUGCAAGUGGGAGAGGCAGGGCCUGAAUCUGGCCAAGAGAUCUCAGGACAAAGCUAAAUCGCAUUUCCAAAGCCAGUCCUUAGACUUGUUCAAGUGUAAGCAGCUUUCACUAAACAGAAGUUUGAUGAGCCGAGCAGGAGUGAAUCAGAAACACGAGGCUGAUGUUUGUCUUCAUCUGCAAGGGGGUUUGGCAGUCUCCAGGCUCCCUUGGCAAGCAGGAUUUGGGCGCUGCCAAAACCUGGAGCUCUGGCGUGAUAGCGUGACCCUUCCGGUCAGGCCAGGCCUCCCGCCCGCCUUCCUGCUGUUCAAAUCAGAGUCUCGGCCUCUCAUGGCCUCUCCUGCUGCUUCACCCUUGAGCCCCGAGGACAGAGUGGCAGGAGGCGUCUCUGUAACCACAUCACGUGUGGGGGAAAAAUGGCACAGAGCGCUCUUUCCUGGAGCGCGGUCAAUGCAGCAGUACCCCAGGUGCCAGGAAACCCAAGCCUUGGAAACUGUGGCUGCAGGUUCCAUCCCCAGGUUGUGGGUGUGGACCACAUUUGCACCAGCAGCUGGACAAAGGGGCCUCUCCACAGUGUGUCUUGGGCUUCCUCACAGCAUGGUGGCUGACUUCUAAGAGUGAGAAUACUAAGAGGCAGAAGGGGAGAUGUGCCAACUUCUUAAAGCCCAGACCUAGAAACUGUACUGGGGAACCGCUGCCAUGUGCUAUUGGUCUGCUUAGAAUCAAGGAAGGGAGCAGAGAUCUCAUCUCCUAAUGGGAGAAGAGUCAAAGAAUUUGGGGGGACAUAUUUAAAAAACCCACAGCUCCUAACUUAGAAGCUUGGGAUUAUCACAUACACAUUACCGUAUAAUGAAAUAAUCAACAAGGACCUACUGCAUAGCGCAGGGAACUCUACUCAGUAUUCUGUGAUAAUCUGUAUGGGAAAAGAAUCUGAAAAAGAGUAGAUAUAUGUAUAUGUAUAACCAAACCAACCACUUUGCUGUACACGUGUGACUAACACAACAUUGUAAAUCAAUUAUAUUCCAAUAGAAAAUAAAAGUUAAAUUAAAAAGAUUAUGGCACAAGGAACUAUAUUUGAUAUCCUGUGAUAAACCAUAAUGGAACAGAAUAUGAAAAAGAGUGUAUAUAUAUAUGUGUGUGUGUGUGUGUGUGUGUGUAUAACUGAGCCACUUUGUUGUACAGCAGUGAUUAAUACAACAUUGUAAAGUAGUUACACUUGGGUAAAAAUUAAAAAAUAG
Long non-coding RNA from Bos taurus (domestic cattle), 1450 nucleotides. The record is from Ensembl. Lineage: Eukaryota; Metazoa; Chordata; Mammalia; Artiodactyla; Bovidae.